This 486-nucleotide ribosomal RNA is filed under the name uncultured bacterium. RNAcentral's name for it is "partial 16S ribosomal RNA". It matches the Rfam family "Bacterial small subunit ribosomal RNA", at positions 28 to 523 of the family's 1533-position model. The record is from RNAcentral.
GACGAACGCUGGCGGCGUGCUUAACACAUGCAAGUCGAACGAUGAAGCCGGAGCUUGCUCUGGUGAAUUAGUGGCGAACGGGUGAGUAACACGUGAGUAACCUGCCCUUGACUCUGGGAUAACUGCGGGAAACUGUAGCUAAUACCGGAUACGACCCUCGGAGGCAUCUCCUGGGGGUGGAAAGAAUUUCGGUCAAGGAUGGACUCGCGGCCUAUCAGCUAGUUGGAGAGGUAACGGCUCACCAAGGCGACGACGGGUAGCCGGCCUGAGAGGGUGACCGGCCACACUGGGACUGAGACACGGCCCAGACGCCUACGGGAGGCAGCAGUGGGGAAUAUUGCACAAUGGGCGAAAGCCUGACGCAGCAACGCCGCGUGCGGGAUGACGGCCUUCGGGUUGUAAACCGCUUUCAGCAGGGAAGAAGCCGCAAGGUGACGGUACCUGCAGAAGAAGCACCGGCUAACUACGUGCCAGCCGCCGCCGUAA